CAGUAAAUAUUAUGUAGAAAAAAUAUACAUUUAAUUUUAGCAAUUGUUAUGCAUGUGUUUUACUAUCUUUAAAUGAAAUAGUGUGGUGAUAUAUCGGCUUUAUAUUGGCCACCAUGCUCUCUUAGAUAUCGGUCAUCAAAAAAAUCUAUAUGGGUCGACCACUAAUCUUGAAUCUUGGAGGUGGGCUCUUUUUACUUUGGGCCAGUAAGUAACCACCUAGCAACCACCAGAGCACCCUAGCAACCGCAUAGCAACGCAUUAAAACCAUUCCGAACAUCUCAGCAACCAUAUAGCAGCAUUCUGGCAACCUCCCACAAACCAUAAUGCGAUGCCGGCGAAGGACCACUCAGAAAUCAAUAUCUGGACUAUAUCAUACAGUGUGAUCUGCUUGAUAUCAUCUCUGUUCUGUCAUUCUAAUAUGAUUAUGAAACUCCUAAUACAUACGAUCAGUCUAAAUUUGCCUCGGAACGAGCGCACAGAGACCCAGAAGCCCACAGCAUUCGCUCUAAGUGUUCAGGUCUGCCUUCCAUUUUGCUAUGGAGUGAUGCUGAUGUCUGAGACCUCCCCUCCGCCUGUGUGUUUUGGAGUUGUAUCUUAUUUACUGUAUCUUAUAAUUGAUUAAUUUUAGGGGUUUUGGCCUGUUUCGUUCUUGCUCUGUUGUGAUACUUUUUGUUCUUUUUUUGGGGUUUGUUGAUUUUCUUUAUUAAGAGUGUGAAAACUGGUUCAAGAUUGUUGUCUGUCACUCUGCCUCUUCACAACAGCAGUUCUGGGUCUGUAACAUCCACCGAUGUGUGCGAACGGGAACGAGAGUGAUCGCUAGAGGUCAGGUCCGUCAGAAGCGCUCGGAAGGCGAAAUAGACGCGAAGUCGAUCUGCUUCCGGCUGCGAUGCUUUUUAUUUAUCAACAGGAGAAAAGCCAGACUCCAUAAACAUGUCACAGAAGUCACAAGAAGUCAUUCGUUUUUGUUUCUCAAAGCGUAACAUUUUCCAACUACGUCUUGACUCAGGCAACAACGUUCCGCUGUGUUGUAAGACAUUUUCUCGUCGAUAUCCGCGCUCACGCGAACAGUUACACACGUGUAUGGUUUUUUCCAGUUUUUUUACUGAAAAAGUCACAAAUAAUGCAGGACCAAAGUUUAUGUGCCUUUCAUCUAGCUUAUUUGUAACUUAUUUCCUGGCUGUAUAUCAGAAACCAACAAACUUCUUGUAUUUUCCACUCUCGAUCAUGUUAUGAGUGUCCCGCAGUCUGUUCUGUUCGUUUCCCUCAGAAAGGUCAAGCCAUAUCCUUUCCCCCCCGUCAAACGAGACUCAUUUGCAAUUCUGAAUGUGUUACCGGGCCCUUAUGGAUUCAUUUGAACCGCCUUUCGCUUUCAGUAUUUCAUGAACUGCUCCGGAUAGACGCCACGAUCUGUAAAACGGAUAAGCGGUUACACUUUUUGCUGAUAUUGUCAUCGACUCUUGCUCAAGCUUUACUCUAAAGCAUACGAGACCAUAACAACAAACUAACCACUGAAACCAAAGGAUUUAAUUGAAUUGGAACUAAUUCAGCACUGUUCAGACUGAAAUAUUUUAUUGCUUUAUGAUGCAAUUGACCCUUACAAUCUAAACCUUAAAUUUCAGCCAUAAUGCUUUCUAUUUUCUUCUCAUGACUAAAUUUAUGGGCUAUAAUUAUGCUAAUUGAACUGUCUAAUUUGCAUUAAAGGGAGGGGCUAGACUAAAUUAGCAAACUGAGGUGUUGCUCAAGCACAGCGCACAUACAGAAAUGCCUGAGUUGAACUCAGGAUGCUUUGACAUGCAAUGAAAUACCUAAUUUAUAGUUUUUAUGAAUGUUUCACUACCAAAAGGAAACAAAUGCUGUCUGUACAUAUGUGUUCCCUUAUUAUUUUAUUUGAUUUUAUUUUUUAACCUGGCCAAAAAAUGGUUUCGGGGAACAAGAUACACACACACCAAUAUGAACUGGUUUUUAUAUUUAUGGCAAUUAACAUAAAAACACAAUUUGUCUUCUGUAUUUUGAUAUCAUACCAGUACCAGCUUUCAUUUGUAAAGCCAUUUAUGUGACUUGUGGGAAUUGGGGAGAGACAUGAGUGUAUCCAGUUUAUGAGUUUGAUGUAAUAAAUGCAAAUAGAAGAUAAACUAUUAAAGAAACAUAUUUUCUCA
Sinocyclocheilus anshuiensis is the source of this 2156-nucleotide long non-coding RNA. RefSeq lists it as uncharacterized. Lineage: Eukaryota; Metazoa; Chordata; Actinopteri; Cypriniformes; Cyprinidae. The transcript is spliced from 2 exons. The record is from RefSeq and is a predicted model, not a curated record.